This 122-nucleotide microRNA precursor is filed under the name Anopheles christyi. RNAcentral describes it as "microRNA mir-999". The stretch from base 19 to 103 matches the Rfam family "mir-999 microRNA precursor family". The record is from RNAcentral. Lineage: Eukaryota; Metazoa; Arthropoda; Insecta; Diptera; Culicidae.
UUUCAAAUAUAAUCGAAUAGCAGUGGCAAGGACGCGGUCAUGCAGUCUAAUAUUUGGCAUUCGAUUCAAAUGUUAACUGUAAGACUGUGUCUUUGACAAUGUUUCUAUCAUCGUUCGGUGGA